This 1320-nucleotide ribosomal RNA is filed under the name Triticum aestivum (bread wheat). Its description in RNAcentral is "partial small subunit ribosomal RNA". Lineage: Eukaryota; Viridiplantae; Streptophyta; Magnoliopsida; Poales; Poaceae. The record is from RNAcentral.
AUGGUAAUAAGCUUGAGAAAGCUCAUACAUCUUUAUCUUUUUGGAUGUCAUAAGCUCGAGCGGACACCUCGAAACAUUGGUCAGCUAAACAACCUUCAUACACUAACAACAUUUAUUGUGGAUACUAGAGAUGGUUGUGGUAUUGAGGAGUUGAAAGACCUGCGGUAUCUUAGCAAAAGGCUGGAACUGUACAACUUGAGAAAAAUAAAGAGUGUAAAGCAUGCAAAAGAAGCCAACCUCCAGCAUAAGCAAAAUCUGAGUGAGUUGUUGUUCUCUUGGGGACAUAAAAGAUAUGACGAGCCCGAAAAUGAGGCAUGUAAUGAAGAAGAAGUGUUCCAGCAUCUAGAACCUCACAGCAAGAUCCAAAUUUUGGAGUUAUAUGGAUAUAAUGGCCUACAAAUACCACAAUGGAUGAGAGAUCCUCAGAUAUUUCGGUGCUUAAGAAAACUCAUAAUUGCCAACUGGACAAGGUGUAAGAAUAUACCUGUAGUAUGGUUGUCACCCUCACUGGAGUACUUAUGCUUACAAAACAUGGGUAAACUGAAGACAUUAUGUGAUAACCUUUGUGUAGAAGGUGGAGGACACAGUACCCCUCUACAAAUUUUCCCGAAGUUGAAGGAGAUAGUCUUGGAAGGGCUGCGAAGUUUAGAGGGAUGGGCAGAAAAUAGUGCGGGGGUGGCUAUUGAUAGCUUAGUAACAUUCCCGGUGCUUGAGGAGCUAGAAUUCGACAGAUGCCCUAAGCUUGCAAGUAUUCCGCUGAGCCCCGUUCUUAAAGUCAUGAGGUUAGGAGGAUAUUUUCUAGACCUGGAGUCUUUACUGCAUAUUCCAAAGCUGCCUACAUCCCUUGAAAUUUUGUGGAUUCAAGGCUUUGGAGGUUUGGUGGCGCUGCCUUCGAACCUUGGAGAUCUGGCAAAGCUGAGGGAACUACUGGUGCAUAGCUGCAGCAGCCUGAAAGGGUUGCCUGAUGGGAUGGAUGGUCUGACUUCUCUUCGGGAGCUGGCAAUCACUCAUUGUCCAGGGAUAGAGGAAUUCCCGAAUGGUAUCCUUCAGCGGUUGCCAGCCCUUGACGACCUACGCAUAGUGGGCUGCCCCGAGUUGCAAAGACGAUGCAGAGAAGGUGGGGAGUAUUUCCACCACCUGGUCCCUAUCCCAUUUAAAUACAUCCCAGGAGAAUCAGAACCAGAAUCAGAAUCUGAAUCAGAAUUUGGAACUGGAGCAGCAGAAGCAGAAUCCAGCAAAAAGAGGUUUCUAAAAAGGCUCCUCCUUCCCUGUGGUGUUCACUCGAAGUCUGACUCUGACUCUGAGUCUGACAAUAACUGA